UACGUAGGGUGCAAGCGUUGUCCGGAAUUAUUGGGCGUAAAGAGCUCGUAGGCGGUUUGUCGCGUCGAAUGUGAAAACCCGGGGCUCAACUCCGGGCCUGCAUUCGAUACGGGCAGACUAGAGUUCGGUAGGGGAGACUGGAAUUCCUGGUGUAGCGGUGAAAUGCGCAGAUAUCAGGAGGAACACCGGUGGCGAAGGCGGGUCUCUGGGCCGAAAUUGACGCUGAGGAGCGAAAGCGUGGGGAGCAAACAGG
This 253-nucleotide ribosomal RNA is filed under the name uncultured bacterium. RNAcentral describes it as "partial 16S ribosomal RNA". It matches the Rfam family "Bacterial small subunit ribosomal RNA", at positions 524 to 776 of the family's 1533-position model. The record is from RNAcentral.